CGGGCUCAACUUCAGGUUUAAUUCACAAUAGUUUACAUUUCACAUUAAGACUAACAGUGGUUCUAUCAACACUGCCACCUACAGGUCUGUCAAGUACAUUGACAAUUUUCAUGGGGUUUUACAAACACCAAAACACUGACCCCUAUAGGUCAACAGACAAACAACAUUUCACAUACCAAUCAGUAUCAACUACACUGCUACCUAUAG
Non-coding RNA from Pelobates cultripes (western spadefoot toad), 207 nucleotides. The record is from the annotation of a GenBank genome assembly. NCBI's taxonomy places the organism in Eukaryota, Metazoa, Chordata, Amphibia, Anura, Pelobatidae.